Molecule: ribosomal RNA, 774 nt
Filed under: uncultured Actinomycetes bacterium
Lineage: Bacteria; Bacillati; Actinomycetota; Actinomycetes
Description: bacterial SSU rRNA
Rfam family: Bacterial small subunit ribosomal RNA
Source: RNAcentral
GCUGCGGGUACUCGAGUGGCGAACGGGUGAGUAACACGUGGGUGAUCUGCCUUGCACUUCGGGAUAAGCUUGGGAAACUGGGUCUAAUACCGGAUAGGACAGCUGUUUAGUGUCAGUUGUGGAAAGUUUUUUCGGUGCAAGAUGAGCUCGCGGCCUAUCAGCUUGUUGGUGGGGUAAUGGCCUACCAAGGCGUCGACGGGUAGCCGGCCUGAGAGGGUGUACGGCCACAUUGGGACUGAGAUACGGCCCAGACUCCUACGGGAGGCAGCAGUGGGGAAUAUUGCACAAUGGGCGGAAGCCUGAUGCAGCGACGCCGCGUGGGGGAUGAAGGCCUUCGGGUUGUAAACUCCUUUCGACAGGGACGAAGCGUAAGUGACGGUACCUGUAUAAGAAGCACCGGCUAACUACGUGCCUAGCAGCCCGGUAAUACGUAGGGUGCGAGCGUUGUCCGGAAUUACUGGGCGUAAAGAGCUCGUAGGUGGUUUGUCGCGUCGUCUGUGAAAUUCCGGGGCUUAACUCCGGGCGUGCAGGCGAUACGGGCUGACUUGAGUGCUGUAGGGGAGUACUGGAAUUCCUGGUGUAGCGGUGAAAUGCGCAGAUAUGCAGGAGGAACACCGAUGGCGAAGGCAGUCUCUGGGCAGUAACUGACGCUGAGGAGCGAAAGCAUGGGUAGCGAACAGGAUUAGAUACCCUGGUAGUCCAUGCCGUAAACGGUGGGCGCUAGGUGUAGGGGGCUUCCACUCUUCUGUGCCGUAGCUAACGCAUUAAGCGCCC